This 307-nucleotide ribosomal RNA is filed under the name uncultured Glomus. RNAcentral's name for it is "SSU rRNA". It matches the Rfam family "Eukaryotic small subunit ribosomal RNA", at positions 792 to 1092 of the family's 1831-position model. Lineage: Eukaryota; Fungi; Glomeromycota; Glomeromycetes; Glomerales; Glomeraceae. The record is from RNAcentral.
CGCUUGAAUACAUUAGCAUGGAAUAAUGAAAUAGGACGUUCGAUCCUAUUUUGUUGGUUUCUAGGAUUGACGUAAUGAUUAAUAGGGAUAUUGGGGGCAUUAGUAUUCAAUUGUCAGAGGUGAAAUUCUUUGGAUUUAUUGAAGACUGACUACUGCGAAAGCAUUUUGCCAAGGAUGUUUUCAUUAAUCAAGAACGAAAGUUAGGGGAUCGAAGACGAUCAGAUACCGUCGUAGUCUUAACCAUAAACUAUGCCGACUAGGGGAUCGGAUGAUGUUAAUUUUUUAAUGACUCAUUCGGCGCCUUACG